Molecule: non-coding RNA, 96 nt
Organism: Mycena galericulata
Lineage: Eukaryota; Fungi; Basidiomycota; Agaricomycetes; Agaricales; Mycenaceae
Source: the annotation of a GenBank genome assembly
GACCUGGUAGCACAUGGUCGUGCAUCCGCUGUCAUUGUAGGUCUACUUCAUCAGAUGUUGAAGCGGAGGAUCCCGGUUCGAGUCCGGGUCAGGUCC